UCCGGUUUGGCACCGGCAGUCUCCGAUGAGUCCCCGGCAUAACUCGCUGGCAACAUCGGACAGGGGUUGCGCUCGUUGCGCCACUUAAGGCAACACCUCACGGCACGAGCUGACGACAGCCAUGCAGCACCUGUGCACGGGCUCCGAAGAGGGCUCGCUGUUUCCAGCAAGUUUCCCAUGCAUGUCAAGCCUAGGUAAGGUUCUGCGCGUUGCGUCGAAUUGAACCACAUGCUCCACCGCUUGUGCGGGCCCCCGUCAAUUCCUUUGAGUUUCAGCCUUGCGGCCGUACUCCCCAGGCGGGGUACUUCCUGCGUUAGCGCCGGCACCCAAGGGGUCGCUCCCCCAGGCACCUAGUACCCAUCGUUUACGGCGUGGACUAC
This 380-nucleotide unclassified non-coding RNA is filed under the name uncultured Gemmatimonadaceae bacterium. RNAcentral describes it as "contains 16S-23S intergenic spacer region". Lineage: Bacteria; Pseudomonadati; Gemmatimonadota; Gemmatimonadia; Gemmatimonadales; Gemmatimonadaceae. The record is from RNAcentral.